CUUCAGUGAUGUUACGAUGACGAGUCUGAAAGGUGUCCUCCCAUUUCAGGUUCUUAAUUCAGGGUCAUGUUCUGUGAUUUCUGUUUUCUGGGGCCUGAACAGGAUGCCCUUUUAAUUGAUGUCCAGAGGCAUUUGUCUGAGAAGG
Molecule: small nucleolar RNA, 145 nt
Organism: Protopterus annectens (West African lungfish)
Lineage: Eukaryota; Metazoa; Chordata; Ceratodontiformes; Protopteridae
Source: RefSeq, a predicted model, not a curated record